CGUAGGGGCCUAGCGUUGUCCGGAUUUAUUGGGCGUAAAGAGCUCGUAGGCGGUUCGGUAAGUCAGGUGUGAAAUCUCCACGCUCAACGUGGAGGCGCCACCUGAAACUGCCGUGACUCGAGUCCGGUAGGGGAGUGUGGAAUUCCCGGUGUAGCGGUGAAAUGCGCAGAUAUCGGGAGGAACACCAGUGGCGAAGGCGGCACUCUGGGCCGGUACUGACGCUGAGGAGCGAAAGCGUGGGGAGCGAACAGGAUUAGAUACCCUGGUAGUCCACGCCGUAAACGUUGGGCACUAGGUGUGGGACUCUAUCGACGGGUUCCGUGCCGUAGCUAACGCAUUAAGUGCCCCGCCUGGGGAGUACGGCCGCAAGGCUA
Molecule: ribosomal RNA, 374 nt
Filed under: uncultured organism
Description: bacterial SSU rRNA
Rfam family: Bacterial small subunit ribosomal RNA
Source: RNAcentral